AUGGAUCCAGCUGUGAUUAUCAUCUUACUUCUCUACAGAAUAGAUUCUACUCAAGCAGUGAGAAAUUCAGAGCCACUGGUCAUCUCAGCUGAGCCCGGUGGAGCGGUCAAUCUCACCUGCACAUUUGUAGACGACUCAGAUAAAGAGGUUAGGAUGUGGUACAAACAAAGACUGGAGCAUGCGCCACUGGAAGUGGGAUCAAAGUUAGAAGACAAACCGGCUGUGAUUCCAGGUCAAUUUGACAAAUCGAGAUUUAAACUCAACAGAAUAGCGAGUGGCAUUUCUCUCAGUAUUGAACGCGUCACUAAAGAAGAUGAAGGAAUGUACUUCUGUGUUGAGACUGGAAAGAAAACGCUGGACUUCUCUACUGCUACAUUCUUAGCGGUCACAGGUAACAUUUAA
Molecule: non-coding RNA, 402 nt
Organism: Pygocentrus nattereri (red-bellied piranha)
Lineage: Eukaryota; Metazoa; Chordata; Actinopteri; Characiformes; Serrasalmidae
Source: the annotation of a RefSeq genome assembly